ACACGUGGACAACCUACCCUUUGGACGGGGAUAAACCCGGGAAACUGGGUAUAAUACCCGAUAGAUCUCAUUGGCUGGAAUGCCUUGAGCUCGAAAGCUCCGGCGCCAAAGGAUGGGUCUGCGGCCUAUCAGGUAGUAGUGGGUGUAGUGUACCUACUAGCCUACGACGGGUACGGGUUGUGAGAGCAAGAGCCCGGAGAUGGAUUCUGAGACACGAAUCCAGGCCCUACGGGGUGCAGCAGGCGCGAAAACUUUACAAUGCUGGCAACAGCGAUAAGGGAACCUCGAGUGCCAGGUUACAAAUCUGGCUGUCGUUGUGUCUAAAAAACACGAUAUAGCAAGGGCCGGGCAAGACCGGUGCCAGCCGCCGCGGUAACACCGGCGGCUCGAGUGGUAACCGUUAUUAUUGGGUCUAAAGGGUCUGUAGCCGGCCGGAUAAGUCUCUUGGGAAAUCCGGCAGCUUAACUGUCGGGCUUUCAGGAGAUACUGUUCGGCUCGAGGCCGGGAGAGGUGAGAGGUACUUCAGGGGUAGGGGUGAAAUCUUGUAAUCCUUGAAGGACCACCAGUGGCGAAGGCGUCUCACCAGAACGGACCUGACGGCAAGGGACGAAAGCUAGGGGCACGAACCGGAUUAGAUACCCGGGUAGUCCUAGCCGUAAACGAUACUCGCUAGGUGUCGGCCACGGUGCGACCGUGGUCGGUGCCGUAGGGAAGCCGUGAAGCGAGCCACCUGGGAAGUACGGCCGCAAGGCUGAAACUUAAAGGAAUUGGC
Molecule: ribosomal RNA, 772 nt
Filed under: uncultured archaeon
Lineage: Archaea
Description: bacterial SSU rRNA
Rfam family: Archaeal small subunit ribosomal RNA
Source: RNAcentral